CUGAUCCCUUCCCGAACUCAGAAGUGAAACAUCGUUGCGCCAAUGGUAGUGUGGAUUCGUCCAUGUGAGAGUAGGUCAUCGUCAGCU
Molecule: ribosomal RNA, 87 nt
Filed under: Psychrobacter sp. SZ93C1
Lineage: Bacteria; Pseudomonadati; Pseudomonadota; Gammaproteobacteria; Moraxellales; Moraxellaceae
Source: RNAcentral